UUUCCGUAGGUGAACCUGCGGAAGGAUCAUUACCGAGUGAGGGCCCUCUGGGUCCAACCUCCCACCCAUGUUUAUUUACCUUGUUGCUUCGGCGAGCCUGCCUUUUGGCUGCCGGGGGACGUCAGUCCCCGGGUCCGUGCUCGCCGGAGACACCUUAGAACUCUGUCUGAAGAUUGUAGUCUGAGAUUAAAUAUAAAUUAUUUAAAACUUUCAACAACGGAUCUCUUGGUUCCG
RNAcentral lists this unclassified non-coding RNA (234 nucleotides) under plant metagenome. RNAcentral describes it as "partial contains small subunit ribosomal RNA, internal transcribed spacer 1, and 5.8S ribosomal RNA". The record is from RNAcentral.